AUCAUGCAGAGGUAGUACAUGUUCUUGAAUGUGAGCUACCUUAAAGUGAUCUGAUGUUGUACAGAACUCACUGCUGAGUUAAGCAUGGUUAUAGAUCAUAUUCAUACAGAGGUAAUACAUGUUCUUGAAUGUGAGCUAGUACAUGUUCUUGAAUGUGAGCUACCUUAAAGUGAUCUGAUGCUGUACAGAACUCACUGCUGAGUUAAGCAUGGUUAUAGAUCAUAUUCAUACAGAGGUAAUACAUGUUCUUGAAUGUGAGCUACCUUAAAGUGAUCUGAUGUUGUACAGAACUCACUGCUGAAUUGAGCAUUGUUAUAGAUGAGAUCAUAUUCAUACAGAGGUAGAACAUGUUCUUGAAUGUGGACUAUUUUAAAAUGAUCUGACGUUGUACAAAACUCACUGCUGAAUUAAGCAUUGUUAGAUCAUACAGAGGUGGUACAUGUUCUUGAAUGUGAGCUACCUUUAAGUGAUCUGAUGUUGUACGGAACUCACUGCUGAAUUAAGCAUGGUUAGGUCACACAGAGGUAGUACAUGUUCUUGAAUGUGAGCUACCUUAAAGUGAUCUGAUGUUGUACAGAACUCACUGCUGAGUUAAAUUAUGGUUAGAUCAUACAGAGGUGGUACAUGUUCUUGAAUGUGAGCUACCUUAAAGUGAUCUGAUGUUGUACAGAACUCACUGCUGAGUUAAACUAUGGUUAGAUCAUACAGAGGUGGUACAUGUUCUUGAAUAUGGAAAGUGAUCUGAUGUACAAAACUCAUCACUGCUGAGUUAAGCAUGGUUAGAUCAUACUGAGGUAGUCCAUGUGCUUGAACGUACUAUGUCAUCUGAUCCGUUUAGGUCACAAUUUCACUGUAAAGGUAAAAGAUAAAAGCAAUGAAUUUCUAAUCAAUAUGAAGAGAAAGAACUUGUUAAACUGUGAAAUAAGUUAGAUGUUACAGUUUAUUUUUAUCCUAUUUUUCACGUGUGAUAUAUAUCUACAUUAGAAAGCUAAAUUUUAACCUGAGUACAACCAGUUUAAAUUAAAACUUUUUCCUACUAUUUUUAACAUCUGCUCUUCCCACGCUUCUGGCGGUAUAAAUAUUAGUUUUUAUUUGGGGGAUUGUUCGACUUUGAGUCUUUGUUUCCAUCCAUAUAGCGCUCAGCGUGGGCUAAAGUUGAUUGGUUAAAUUUAACCGUUUUAAACUUAUUUAUAGAUAUUUUUCUGGUCCGUCCGCUACACUUGGCUCCAAGCCUUGCUGGCGUUAUUCCAGGCGGUCGGAAACUCUGGAAUGAGUCGUAAAAGAGUUUAGAAUGAGGAUGGAAGUCGUUGCGAAAAAAAACAUUUAUAUAUAAACAUCGUUUAUAUCUAUUUGUAGACAAUAAAGACUACUAUUCAUA
Paramuricea clavata is the source of this 1378-nucleotide non-coding RNA. NCBI's taxonomy places the organism in Eukaryota, Metazoa, Cnidaria, Anthozoa, Malacalcyonacea, Plexauridae. The record is from the annotation of a GenBank genome assembly.